Molecule: ribosomal RNA, 414 nt
Filed under: uncultured microorganism
Description: bacterial SSU rRNA
Rfam family: Archaeal small subunit ribosomal RNA
Source: RNAcentral
CAGCCGCCACGGUAAUACCGGCGGCCCGAGUGGCGGUCACUAUUAUUGGGCUUAAAACGUCCGUAGCCGGGUUGGGAAGUCCUCCGGGAAAUCUGGCCGCUUAACGGUCAGAAUGCCGGAGGAUACUCCCAGCCUAGGGAGCGGGAGAGGCCGAGGGGAUUCCCGGAGUAGGGGGGAAAUCCUAUAAUCCCGGGGGGACCACCUGUGGCGAAGGCGCUCGGCUGGAACGCGUCCGACGGUGAGGGACGAAGGCCAGGGGAGCAAACCGGAUUAGAUACCCGGGUAGUCCUGGCUGUAAACGAUGCGGACUUUGUGUCGGACAAGCUAUGAGCUUGUCCGGUGCCGGAGGGAAACCGUUAAGUCCGCCGCCUGGGGAGUACGGCCGCAAGGCUGAAACUUAAAGGAAUUGGCGGG